This is a long non-coding RNA of Daucus carota subsp. sativus, 1932 nucleotides long. RefSeq lists it as uncharacterized. NCBI's taxonomy places the organism in Eukaryota, Viridiplantae, Streptophyta, Magnoliopsida, Apiales, Apiaceae. The record is from RefSeq and is a predicted model, not a curated record. The transcript is spliced from 2 exons.
AGUUAGCAGCCUUUUGUACAUGCUCAGUAGACUAAAAAACCUGGGACUUUGACUGUUAGUUGAAUGUAAGCGCAAAAAAUUUAAUGUUUUACAAGCAAGCAUAAAUUUCUAUGUAUCUCCCUACUGAUUUUUUACUGUGAGAAUGUAACUCUUAGGAAUCGAUUAAAUCAUUUUUUACGGAAAGGAGUUUCCCCUGUUCUUGAUACUGUUGUCAUCAGAACAUAAGAUGCUCUGCUCUGUCUCUUUGUAAAAAAGAUUCAGCAACAACUGAACUUCCACUUUCCUCAUGGCCAGCUACCUCAUUUACACUAAUUUGACCAUAAACUAAACCUCUAAUAGCAUGCUCCUUCUUGUUGAGAUAUCCACCUCCAGGGAACUACGGCACAUAAGUGUUAAGGAACUGUAAACUUCUCUCAGAAUAAAUCGCUUUGGUUACCUCACUUUAAAUGAUGAAAAAACAUCACAAUAUAUGUUGCUCUAAUGUUCUUUAAUUCAAUUUUGAUUGUUCAGAUUUGUAGUCUAUUAUAAGGUCUACUUAAGCCUUUCCAUGAGAAGAUAAUUUAGCCUUAUUUGGUCUGUUCUGACCACAGCUGAGUCAGACUCCAUUUGAUUACGAUGUCGAAAAAAUUACAAUGGAGUACCAUAAGUUGUUCGGUAAAGGGGAUGAUCUGAAAUUUUUUUCCCCUCUAAAUCUGCAAACCCCUUUUGUGAAUGCUAUGUACAGCCUUAUCCAGUGGCCAACCAAACUCUAAAACACGUGAUUCAAGUAGCCAAAUCAGUGAAUAUAUACUGUUGCAAGGGUGCUGUUUUUUUUUUUUUUUGGGGGGGGCGGGGCCGGGUGGGUGGGGGUGUCUUUAUGGAUUUACAGAGUGUUCUAGCAAGUCAGAAAAACAUUGUAAUGAUUUAAGGAUUUUUUUAGUAUCCUUUCUGAUAUUAUACUCUUCCAAGUUAGAACCGGAAAACCUGGCCUUCCUAGAAUAAAGUUUUUGUGCAGGGUUAUACUCACAAGAACAAGAAUGAUUAACACUCUGCUGAGUGCUGACCUCACAUUUCAAAUUUCUGGAAGUAUAAGGAUCUGUUCUGAAAUUUUUUAAUUUAUAUUGGAAAAUGUAGUCGUGGUACUACCCAAUUUCAUUAUUAUUGUAGAUUUCGCUUCUACAGGGAGUUUGGUUUACCUUUUAUGGGAAAAAGUAAGUCCAAUCUACAGAAGUAUCCGUAAUUCUCUAGUCAUAUAUUGACUGUCUUCCAUAGUACAUUAAGUAGGAACCUUUUGGUAUAGUUUCUCUAAUUGUCUUGCACUUGUGAAAAUUGGCAGAAUUGUCCAGUUCCUUAUGAAAAAAAUUUUCAUUUUGCAUUUGACCAGUGCACUUUCUCCUUUUUGUGCAGGUUUCUCGACACAAAAGAGGCAUAAGAAAUGGACCAAAGGCAUUAAAACCUAUUCCCGUCAUCAUCCGUUGCAAGGCCUGUGGUCGAGUGAAACUGCCACAUUUCUUCUGUUGCAGCGGGGAAAGGGGAAAUCCUGGUGCACAGAAUGGUACAACCAACUGAUUCAAGCUCAUCAAUGUGGUACUGGACAGUUGAUGGACCAAAAAUGCAGCGGAGUAAGAGUUUCUUGUUGAACAUUACAAGGCUAUUCCAGGAUUGAGUUAACUUUCCAAGUUUCUAUCCUAUGGUAUACUGAACCAUGACUGACAGACUACAGGUGUAAUGGUCACAGAUUUCUAUUAUUAAACUUUGUAAGAUUUUUGUUGCCUUUUCUUGUAGUGUUUUUCUCCAUGAGGUUAGUCUCCUGGAGUCACUCUUGCUCGGUCAGUAUUUUCCACACAAAGAUACUGGAAUAAUGAGUGACUAUAAAUUAAUAGUAGCUCAUGGAUAGAUGGUGAAUGUGGUUUUGCUGAAUUCAGGGUAAUUUCUCCGGAGGGUCCCCUCUAA